Molecule: ribosomal RNA, 253 nt
Filed under: uncultured bacterium
Lineage: Bacteria
Description: partial 16S ribosomal RNA
Rfam family: Bacterial small subunit ribosomal RNA
Source: RNAcentral
UACGGGGGGGGCAAGCGUUGUUCGGAAUUACUGGGCGUAAAGGGCUCGUAGGUGGCCAACUAAGUCAGACGUGAAAUCCCUCAGCUUAACUGGGGAACUGCGUCUGAGACUGGCAAGCUUGAGUGCAGGAGAGGAAUGCGGAAUUCCAGGUGUAGCGGUGAAAUGCGUAGAUAUCUGGAGGAACACCGGUGGCGAAGGCGGCGUUCUGGACUGCAACUGACACUGAGGAACGAAAGCCAGGGGAGCAAACGGG